RNAcentral lists this small RNA (172 nucleotides) under Streptomyces sp. Its description in RNAcentral is "c-di-AMP sequence". It matches the Rfam family "c-di-AMP riboswitch aptamer (ydaO/yuaA leader)". From Rfam's summary of the family: This family represents a conserved RNA structure found upstream of the ydaO and yuaA genes in Bacillus subtilis and related genes in other bacteria. The ydaO/yuaA element is thought to act as a genetic "off" switch for the ydaO and yuaA genes in its native state. It is believed that the element may be triggered during osmotic shock leading to activation of ydaO, a predicted amino acid transporter gene, and members of the yuaA-yubG operon which code for KtrA and KtrB K+ transporters. RNAcentral also lists the same sequence under 1 other name. Lineage: Bacteria; Bacillati; Actinomycetota; Actinomycetes; Kitasatosporales; Streptomycetaceae. The record is from RNAcentral.
AUCCUGCCGCCGCCCGGAAUCCGCAUCGACCCACGUGUGGCAGGAGCGGGGGAACCAGGUAAGCCGCCGACCGGAGACAUCCGGAACGGCUCGGGGUCAAGUCGCGUCCCGCGCGGCCGGGCAUCUCCAGCCCGAACCCGACAGCUCACCUCGUAGGCGCCGGAGAGGAAUU